AUACUGUUAUUUUGUAUAGCUCGUAUACAUCCUGAAUGUGGCAGGAAAGUAUCUACCGGAGACCGUAAAUCCCCGACUAUGGGUGAAUUUUUAUGGUGU
This is a regulatory RNA element of Clostridium tyrobutyricum DIVETGP, 99 nucleotides long. It matches the Rfam family "Purine riboswitch aptamer". From Rfam's summary of the family: Riboswitches are metabolite binding domains within certain messenger RNAs that serve as precision sensors for their corresponding targets. Allosteric rearrangement of mRNA structure is mediated by ligand binding, and this results in modulation of gene expression. The record is from Rfam. NCBI's taxonomy places the organism in Bacteria, Bacillati, Bacillota, Clostridia, Eubacteriales, Clostridiaceae.